Transfer RNA from Tritrichomonas foetus, 80 nucleotides. It matches the Rfam family "tRNA". Rfam says of the family: Transfer RNA (tRNA) molecules are approximately 80 nucleotides in length. Their secondary structure includes four short double-helical elements and three loops (D, anti-codon, and T loops). Further hydrogen bonds mediate the characteristic L-shaped molecular structure. tRNAs have two regions of fundamental functional importance: the anti-codon, which is responsible for specific mRNA codon recognition, and the 3' end, to which the tRNAs corresponding amino acid is attached (by aminoacyl-tRNA synthetases). tRNAs cope with the degeneracy of the genetic code in two manners: having more than one tRNA (with a specific anti-codon) for a particular amino acid; and 'wobble' base-pairing, i.e. permitting non-standard base-pairing at the 3rd anti-codon position. Lineage: Eukaryota; Parabasalia; Tritrichomonadida; Tritrichomonadidae. The record is from Rfam.
GGUUGUUUGGCCGAGUGGUCCAAGGCGCCAGUUUAAGGCACUGGUCCGAGAGGGCGUGGGUUCGAACCCCACAGCAACCA